This 2902-nucleotide ribosomal RNA is filed under the name synthetic metagenome. RNAcentral describes it as "bacterial LSU rRNA". It matches the Rfam family "Bacterial large subunit ribosomal RNA". The record is from RNAcentral.
UUAAGCGACUAAGCGUACACGGUGGAUGCCCUGGCAGUCAGAGGCGAUGAAGGACGUGCUAAUCUGCGAUAAGCGUCGGUGAGGUGAUAUGAACCGUUAUAACCGGCGAUUUCCGAAUGGGGAAACCCAGUGUGUUUCGACACACUAUCAUUAACUGAAUCCAUAGGUUAAUGAGGCGAACCGGGGGAACUGAAACAUCUAAGUACCCCGAGGAAAAGAAAUCAACCGAGAUUCCCCCAGUAGCGGCGAGCGAACGGGGAGGAGCCCAGAGCCUGAAUCAGUGUGUGUGUUAGUGGAAGCGUCUGGAAAGGCGCGCGAUACAGGGUGACAGCCCCGUACACAAAAAUGCACAUAUUGUGAGCUCGAUGAGUAGGGCGGGACACGUGGUAUCCUGUCUGAAUAUGGGGGGACCAUCCUCCAAGGCUAAAUACUCCUGACUGACCGAUAGUGAACCAGUACCGUGAGGGAAAGGCGAAAAGAACCCCGGCGAGGGGAGUGAAAAAGAACCUGAAACCGUGUACGUACAAGCAGUGGGAGCCUCUUAAUGGGGUGACUGCGUACCUUUUGUAUAAUGGGUCAGCGACUUAUAUUCUGUAGCAAGGUUAACCGAAUAGGGGAGCCGAAGGGAAACCGAGUCUUAACUGGGCGUUAAGUUGCAGGGUAUAGACCCGAAACCCGGUGAUCUAGCCAUGGGCAGGUUGAAGGUUGGGUAACACUAACUGGAGGACCGAACCGACUAAUGUUGAAAAAUUAGCGGAUGACUUGUGGCUGGGGGUGAAAGGCCAAUCAAACCGGGAGAUAGCUGGUUCUCCCCGAAAGCUAUUUAGGUAGCGCCUCGUGAAUUCAUCUCCGGGGGUAGAGCACUGUUUCGGCAAGGGGGUCAUCCCGACUUACCAACCCGAUGCAAACUGCGAAUACCGGAGAAUGUUAUCACGGGAGACACACGGCGGGUGCUAACGUCCGUCGUGAAGAGGGAAACAACCCAGACCGCCAGCUAAGGUCCCAAAGUCAUGGUUAAGUGGGAAACGAUGUGGGAAGGCCCAGACAGCCAGGAUGUUGGCUUAGAAGCAGCCAUCAUUUAAAGAAAGCGUAAUAGCUCACUGGUCGAGUCGGCCUGCGCGGAAGAUGUAACGGGGCUAAACCAUGCACCGAAGCUGCGGCAGCGACACUAUGUGUUGUUGGGUAGGGGAGCGUUCUGUAAGCCUGUGAAGGUGGCCUGUGAGGGUUGCUGGAGGUAUCAGAAGUGCGAAUGCUGACAUAAGUAACGAUAAAGCGGGUGAAAAGCCCGCUCGCCGGAAGACCAAGGGUUCCUGUCCAACGUUAAUCGGGGCAGGGUGAGUCGACCCCUAAGGCGAGGCCGAAAGGCGUAGUCGAUGGGAAACAGGUUAAUAUUCCUGUACUUGGUGUUACUGCGAAGGGGGGACGGAGAAGGCUAUGUUGGCCGGGCGACGGUUGUCCCGGUUUAAGCGUGUAGGCUGGUUUUCCAGGCAAAUCCGGAAAACCAAGGCUGAGGCGUGAUGACGAGGCACUACGGUGCUGAAGCGACAAAUGCCCUGCUUCCAGGAAAAGCCUCUAAGCAUCAGGUAACAUCAAAUCGUACCCCAAACCGACACAGGUGGUCAGGUAGAGAAUACCAAGGCGCUUGAGAGAACUCGGGUGAAGGAACUAGGCAAAAUGGUGCCGUAACUUCGGGAGAAGGCACGCUGAUAUGUAGGUGAAGCGACUUGCUCGUGGAGCUGAAAUCAGUCGAAGAUACCAGCUGGCUGCAACUGUUUAUUAAAAACACAGCACUGUGCAAACACGAAAGUGGACGUAUACGGUGUGACGCCUGCCCGGUGCCGGAAGGUUAAUUGAUGGGGUUAGCGGUAACGCGAAGCUCUUGAUCGAAGCCCCGGUAAACGGCGGCCGUAACUAUAACGGUCCUAAGGUAGCGAAAUUCCUUGUCGGGUAAGUUCCGACCUGCACGAAUGGCGUAAUGAUGGCCAGGCUGUCUCCACCCGAGACUCAGUGAAAUUGAACUCGCUGUGAAGAUGCAGUGUACCCGCGGCAAGACGGAAAGACCCCGUGAACCUUUACUAUAGCUUGACACUGAACAUUGAGCCUUGAUGUGUAGGAUAGGUGGGAGGCUUUGAAGUGUGGACGCCAGUCUGCAUGGAGCCGGCCUUGAAAUACCACCCUUUAAUGUUUGAUGUUCUAACGUGGGCCCCUUACCGGGGUUGCGGACAGUGUCUGGUGGGUAGUUUGACUGGGGCGGUCUCCUCCUAAAGAGUAACGGAGGAGCACGAAGGUUGGCUAAUCCUGGUCGGACAUCAGGAGGUUAGUGCAAUGGCAUAAGCCAGCUUGACUGCGAGCGUGACGGCGCGAGCAGGUGCGAAAGCAGGUCAUAGUGAUCCGGUGGUUCUGAAUGGAAGGGCCAUCGCUCAACGGAUAAAAGGUACUCCGGGGAUAACAGGCUGAUACCGCCCAAGAGUUCAUAUCGACGGCGGUGUUUGGCACCUCGAUGUCGGCUCAUCACAUCCUGGGGCUGAAGUAGGUCCCAAGGGUAUGGCUGUUCGCCAUUUAAAGUGGUACGCGAGCUGGGUUUAGAACGUCGUGAGACAGUUCGGUCCCUAUCUGCCGUGGGCGCUGGAGAACUGAGGGGGGCUGCUCCUAGUACGAGAGGACCGGAGUGGACGCAUCACUGGUGUUCGGGUUGUCAUGCCAAUGGCACUGCCCGGUAGCUAAAUGCGGAAGAGAUAAGUGCUGAAAGCAUCUAAGCACGAAACUUGCCCCGAGAUGAGUUCUCCCUGACCCUUUAAGGGUCCUGAAGGAACGUUGAAGACGACGACGUUGAUAGGCCGGGUGUGUAAGCGCAGCGAUGCGUUGAGCUAACCGGUACUAAUGAACCGUGAGGCUUAACCUU